Molecule: transfer RNA, 81 nt
Organism: Camelus ferus (Wild Bactrian camel)
Lineage: Eukaryota; Metazoa; Chordata; Mammalia; Artiodactyla; Camelidae
Rfam family: tRNA
About the family: Transfer RNA (tRNA) molecules are approximately 80 nucleotides in length.
Source: Rfam
GAGGAUAUAGCUCAGUGGGUUCUGUGGUAGAGUGUGUGCUUAGCAUGCACAAGGUCCUGGGUUCAAUCCCCAAUACCUCCA